Molecule: ribosomal RNA, 654 nt
Filed under: Triticum aestivum (bread wheat)
Lineage: Eukaryota; Viridiplantae; Streptophyta; Magnoliopsida; Poales; Poaceae
Description: partial small subunit ribosomal RNA
Source: RNAcentral
AUGGGCGAGGCGGUGGAGGCGCCGGCCGCGUCAUCGACCACGGUGGAGAUGGAGGCCGCGGAGCAGCUCAUCCAGCUCAGCGGCGGCGGCUGCGACGACGGCGACAGCGGCGAGUCGGAGAGCAAGAGCGCGGACAGCGUCAGGGCCGGCGAGAAGGUGCUGGCCGUGGAGAGAAAGAGCGUCAAGGCAGCUGGCGAAAAGGUGCCGGCCGUGGCAAGCAAGAGCGCGGGCAGCGUCAAGGCAGCUGGCGAGAAGGCGCGGGCCGCGGAGAGCAAGAGCGCGGACAGCGUCAAGGCCGGCGAGAAGCGGGGAGAUGGUAAAGAGGGGGUGCCCGCCGUGGAGAGCAGCACCGGGAAGAGACGCGAGAAACUCGGUGGGCACAAGGGUGGCGGGCAAGACGAGGAGGCCGUCAUCGGCGGGGUCGCCAGGAGGAGGCCGAGGUUCCGGUCGCUGGCGUCGAUAUACAAGAACACGAGGAGGAUGGACGACCACGGGCACCGCCGCGAGGAGGCGGAAGAGGACGAGAGGAGUGAGGGGAAGGGGAAAAAGAACAACAAGAGGAAGAGGGCCACGGAUGGAGCGGCCGACGGCGAGCUGAUCCCCACGGCGGUGCCGUGCAAGGCCAAGAGAGGGGUACGCCGAAGAACUAGCUAG